UACGUAGGGUGCGAGCGUUAAUCGGAAUACUGGGCGUAAGACGUGCGCAGGCGGUUUGUAAGCCAGAUGUGAAAUCCCCGGGCUUAACCUGGGAAUGGCAUUUGGGACUGCAAGGCUUGAGUGCGGCAGAGGAGACUGGAAUUCCUGGUGUAGCAGUGAAAUGCGUAGAUAUCAGGAGGAACACCGAUGGCGAAGGCAGGUCUCGUGGGCUGACACUGACGCUCAUGCAC
This 230-nucleotide ribosomal RNA is filed under the name uncultured bacterium. RNAcentral's name for it is "partial 16S ribosomal RNA". It matches the Rfam family "Bacterial small subunit ribosomal RNA", at positions 524 to 754 of the family's 1533-position model. The record is from RNAcentral.